Molecule: ribosomal RNA, 253 nt
Filed under: uncultured bacterium
Lineage: Bacteria
Description: partial 16S ribosomal RNA
Rfam family: Bacterial small subunit ribosomal RNA
Source: RNAcentral
UACGAAGGGGGCUAGCGUUGUUCGGAGUUAUUGGGCGUAAAGGGAGCGUAGGCGGUUCGGCAAGUCUCUAGUGAAAUCUCUGGGCUCAACCCAGAGUCUGCUGGGGAAACUGCCGGGCUUGAGUAUGGGAGAGGUGAGUGGAAUUCCCGGUGUAGCGGUGAAAUGCGUAGAUAUCGAGAGGAACACCUGCGGCGAAGGCGGGUUGCUGGGCCGACACUGACGCUGAGGCGCGAAAGCCAGGGGAGCGAACGGG